AAACAAUAUAGGAUUAGAAAAAUCAAAUAUUUUUAAACUUCAUUUAAGUGGUUUUUUCUUCCUUUAAUUGUUAGAACAAAUUUUAUUUUAUUUUGUGUACAGGUAUUGAAUAAAUACCAUGAUUAAUCAUGUAUUGCUCGACCGACUCAUUUAAUACACCAUAUACGAUGUUAAUUUGUAAUUUUUAAAACAUAUAAUACAGUUAGAAAUGUAGUAUCUAUAUAUACAUUAAGGUAGUAUCUAUAAUAAUAAUUAGCGGAGCCGAACUCUGUCUUAUGUUAAACUUAACUCCACACACCGUAAUAUAUUAUAAUAAUUAUCAAUUUGUCCUAUACUAACCGAUUAUAUUAUUUUAUUAUAUUUAUGACGACGGUUAAAUUACAAAGUAUAGGAACGACCACUUGUCGCGAUUAGUUUUUUUUUUUUUUUUUUUUUUAUUUUUUUUUUUGUAAAUAAUAACGUGUCUAACAUCAGAGUAAUAAUAAAUAAAACAAAAAUAAAAUUAUAACUAGUCAAUUUUAACAUUAUUCAGGAUAAUGAAAAUAUUUAACUGUCGUGAAUGUCUGUUUAUACCCA
This is a non-coding RNA of Cinara cedri, 576 nucleotides long. The record is from the annotation of a GenBank genome assembly. Lineage: Eukaryota; Metazoa; Arthropoda; Insecta; Hemiptera; Aphididae.